AAUAAGUAAUGUUUUACACUGUUCACGUCCAACGUUUAACCGUUUGUCUUAUUUGAAAUUUUUUUAUGAUUAGUAUUUUUAUUAUUAUUAGAUGAUAAAAUAUGAAUAGUACUUUAUGUGUGACUAUUUUUUUAAUUUUUUCAUAAAUUUUUCAAAUAAGACGAACGGUCAAACGUUGAACACGGAUACCCACGGCUGUACUUAUU
Molecule: non-coding RNA, 206 nt
Organism: Oryza nivara
Lineage: Eukaryota; Viridiplantae; Streptophyta; Magnoliopsida; Poales; Poaceae
Source: Rfam